CGAGCUCGGACAGCAUUUCAUCAGAUAGACUAGAUUCCCCAACAGAUCGCCAGAGCUUUCUUUUUCCCAAGGACUCCGCGGAAUACACCUGAAAACUUGUUGAUUAUUUAUGUUCUAGCAUGCUUUUUGGGCAGCCACCCAGGACCUCGUAUCCACAGGAAAACUGACACAUCUAAUCAGCCUCCCAGAUACAGUUCUGUAAAGUCUUAUUCGUUUGGAUGCCAUCAGCUCAGAAGGUUUGGAUAAUUCAGACAGUCUGGAGGGACCGUGCCUCUCACACAGCCUACAAAAGACAGAGUUUCUUAACAAAUUGAUAAUGGAAAGCAGACCGCUGGGGCUGAGAAGUGAAUUGUCUUCAAGUUCUCUAGAACAGCGUCCCCGUACCAGCAAUCAAGGAUUAAUUGCAAAUUAUUUUUAUCAAGUAAUUAAAAUGAAUCCCAGGCAAGAAAUCCUACCUCGGGAAUCGUGCGGUGGCAAAAAAUAUGAGCUUUCAAUCCACCCAGGGCGUGGGCUCGGAUUGCAGCCACGCAACUCACGAGCUUAAGUUACUGUCCAUGAGCGACUUUCCUGCUCUGAGCCUUAAAUGCUGACAUAUGGAAAAGUUUGUCGGAUGGACGUUAGAAUUGGAACCCACAGAGGUAAAGAAAUCACUUCCAAAAUGAUGCUUCGGAGGAUUCUCCAUCCACAAGAUGUUAACACUUAUUGCAUGAAAAAGGGGGAUUCGUGGUUGACUAAAUUUGGGAUAAACCAAGCUGAACAAAAUGAAAUGUGUUCGCUUGCUUUUGGGGUGUGUUGAUUUGCAGGGCUUCUCAGAGCCUUUAGCGUUGUACUUCAUGUCAUGAAUCUUCACAAGGAGGGUGUAUUGAGUAGUUCUUCCCCAAAUUUAUUUUAUUUCACCAAUGAUCUCUCUCUCUCUCUCUCUCUCUCUCUCUCUCUCUCUCUCUCUCUCUCUUUAGAACACUCUGACUCCUUCCAGAACUUCCACAGAGGGUAAUUUGCGGAGUGACAUCCUAGAAUUUGUGGUUUGCGCCGUGUCUCAGCAGCAGGAUGGAGCCUACAUGGGGCUAUCUGCACUGUGUCCCUGAAUCCCACUAGAACCAAGGCCACAACCUGGGUGGAGAAGCCACACCGGAGAAACACCAGGAUUGCUCAUAGUCGGUGACUUCUUAGGAACCAUCCUGGGGAAAGUGGCUCCUGGGAACUUCCCAGAGGUACCUGGAACAGCCGACUUAUCUGCAGGCUGGACUCACAUCGAGGUCAAUGAAUCAGGUCCAAAGUUUCCAAAGAUUCAAAGGUGGGGUGAGCAGAGGGCAGCGUGGGAGGACAGCUGGGAGUCCAGGGACCGGCAGGUUGUCGUGGCGUUAAGACAAGUUGCAAAUCAUCACAGGAACGUGGGGGAAAGGUGAGUGUGGUCACAGCUCUGCUCCUGGGGACCCCUGGUCAACGUGGCCGUGGCUACCCGCAAUGGAGGGGCAUCUACAGGAAGUAGAGGUGACCGUGAAGGGUGGAUCCCAAAGUGGUCAAGGUCAGUCCCUAACCCUAAGAACAUAAUGAGCAGGACAGGCUCGGCCCUGGCAAACCUGCUAGAAGCCCAAGGCAGAGGAGCCCAUUGA
RNAcentral lists this long non-coding RNA (1613 nucleotides) under Marmota monax (woodchuck). Lineage: Eukaryota; Metazoa; Chordata; Mammalia; Rodentia; Sciuridae. The record is from RNAcentral.